AUUGAACGCUGGCGGCAGGCCUAACACAUGCAAGUCGAGCGGAAGCAGGGAGCUUGCUCCUGGAUUCCGCGGCGGACGGGUGUGUAAUGCCUAUGAAUCUGCCUCGUAGUGGGGGAUAACGUCCGGAAACGGGUGCUCAUAUCGCAUACGUCCUGAGGGAGAAAGUGGGGGAUCUUCGGACCCCACGCUAUCAGAUGAGCCAAGUUCGGAUUAGCUAGUUGGUGGGUAAAGGCCUACCAAGGCGACGACCCGUAACUGGUCUGAGAGGAUGAUCAGUCACACUGGAACUGAGACACGGUCCAGACUCCUACGGGAGGCAGCAGUGGGGAAUAUUGGACAAUGGGCGAAAGCCUGAUCCAGCCAUGCCGCGUGUGUGAAGAAGGUCUUCGGAUUGUAAAGCACUUUAAGUUGGGAGGAAGGGCAGUAAGUUAAUACCUUGCUGUUUUGACGUUACCAACAGAAUAAGCACCGGCUAACUUCGUG
Molecule: ribosomal RNA, 483 nt
Filed under: uncultured bacterium
Lineage: Bacteria
Description: partial 16S ribosomal RNA
Rfam family: Bacterial small subunit ribosomal RNA
Source: RNAcentral